AUCACAUCAAGGGUGAUUUCACUAGCAUCAGUAGCCUGCAGAUCCACCUGAAUGCCAUUGAGCCCACUCUUGAAUUUUUGGUUUGAGGUGGCGUAAAGCAUCUUGCUCUUCACCUUGGCGGUGUCUGGGGACCUUGCAAUUCAGAAGUAACACAUCUCAUGGGUGAGCAGCUUCGCAGCAAGCACGGGUAAUAAGGAAUGCAAACAGGAGAGGAGUGCACAAGCAAUACCAUAGGAUAUAGAAGAUCCUACUCUUUUGGACAUCCUCUGCAGUAACAAAGUCGAAAUCAUAGAUGGCGUAUCGGCAGUCAUUUUCAGGUAGGCUGUUGGUGAAAUCCUCAUAGGUGGUCUCGCGGUUCCCAACCUGGUCCACCACAAUCUCCUUGAAGUUGUCGUUCAUCUUGAAAGUGAUGAAACGGUGCAGCCUCUUGGACUGCAGCUCGCCGAACUUCAGCAUGCACUCAUCAUUAACCCCGACUCCUGAUCUUGCGUUUGCCUGCGAGCACGAGCAACAUCAUGGUUAACAGGUAACACAACAUUAAUGUCAAUUCAAAGUACUACUGAAGUAGUAAUUCAAGAAAGGUGGUUGCUUCCACUCAUUUUUAUUUUUGCAUGGCAGAGCCAACUGCCCCCAGUAUCCUAAACCAGGCUGGAAUUGAACAAGUACAUAAACUACUAUAAUAGACACUUCAGGGUCCAUAGCCUUGAAUAUGGAGUGCUAAAAUCUCUGGAAACGAAUGGCAUUUCUCAUGAGACAACUCACAAGUAGAGUUUACUAAUGCUAGAGAUUCCAGCACGACCGCCCAGCUCAUGGUCAAUGGCAGUGCUAGUGUGCUACUGCUGCUACAGCCAAACAGUACAGAUCCACACCAGAACCAACAGGAUAGCACAACAGCUGGUUGCCCUUCGAUUCCGCAAGCUAAGUAGGUAGAUGUAUUGCAAUUAUACGAUCUAAUCAGGCGAUCAGACACAGAUCAGCUAAGAUUCCACACCAAGCCCAUCUCGCAUAACCUGGAUCUAACAAUUCGAUUUCACCCGGUAGUCCAUACAACCGCGGAUCCGAAGCGCCGCGCGCCACUCCCGGACCUCCAGCUAGAGCUAGACGAAACUCCCGACAUCCAAAUCUAAGAUCGCGGAAUCCCGUCAACCCGCCCCAACUUCGCUCCCAAUAGUUUCCCCAUCGCACACGAAACCGGGAAUUCCCUCCCGAGGAAAGCAUGAAACAACCGAGACAACCUCGAUCCCCCUCGAAUCCAACUAGAUCCGACGCCUCUAGCCACUACCCUACGCUACUGCCGUAUGAACAGAAACCCAAAAUCAACCGCGAAACAGACGCCCAGCACCGAUCUGCGGAAACCACAGCACGAGGAGCGCGGAGGGGAGGCGAGGGCUUACCAUCUCGGGCGAGUUCCGAAGCCGGGAGGCUGCGGCGGCGGAGGAGGAGGGAAUCCGCUGUGCGAGCGAGCGAGCGAGCGAAG
This 1477-nucleotide long non-coding RNA is filed under the name Setaria italica (foxtail millet). RNAcentral describes it as "long non-coding RNA (SITA_LNC006388)". The record is from RNAcentral. Lineage: Eukaryota; Viridiplantae; Streptophyta; Magnoliopsida; Poales; Poaceae.